CCUUGACAUACUAAGAACUUUCCAGAGAUGGAUUGGUGCCUUCGGGAACUUAGAUACAGGUGCUGCAUGGCUGUCGUCAGCUCGUGUCGUGAGAUGUUGGGUUAAGUCCGCAACGAGCGCAACCCUUUUCCUUAUUUGCCAGCGGGUAAUGCCGGGAACUUUAAGGAUACUGCCAGUGACAAACUGGAGGAAGGCGGGGACGACGUCAAGUCAUCAUGGCCUUACGGCCAGGGCUACACACGUGCUACAAUGGUCGGUACAAAGGGUUGCUACCUCGCGAGAGGAUGCUAAUCUCAAAAAGCCGAUCGUAGUCCGGAUCGCAGUCUGCAACUCGACUGCGUGAAGUCGGAAUCGCUAGUAAUCGCGGAUCAGAAUGCCGCGGUGAAUACGUUCCCGGGCCUUGUACACACCGCCCGUCACACCAUGGGAGUUUGUUGCACCAGAAGUAGGUAGUCUAACCGCAAGGAGGACGCUUACCACGGUGUGGCCGAUGACUGGGGUGAAGUCGUAACAAGGUAGGCGUAGAUGA
This 529-nucleotide ribosomal RNA is filed under the name uncultured bacterium. Its description in RNAcentral is "bacterial SSU rRNA". It matches the Rfam family "Bacterial small subunit ribosomal RNA", at positions 979 to 1509 of the family's 1533-position model. The record is from RNAcentral.